This 863-nucleotide ribosomal RNA is filed under the name uncultured Neocallimastigales. RNAcentral describes it as "partial large subunit ribosomal RNA". It matches the Rfam family "Eukaryotic large subunit ribosomal RNA", at positions 20 to 645 of the family's 3401-position model. Lineage: Eukaryota; Fungi; Neocallimastigomycota; Neocallimastigomycetes; Neocallimastigales. The record is from RNAcentral.
UACUAGAGUAGCACUCGCAUAUCAAUAAGCGGAGGAAAAGAAACUAACAAGGAUUCCCCUAGUAACGGCGAGUGAAGCGGGAAGAGCUCAAAUUUGAAAUCUUAAAGGGUUUCCCUUUACGAAUUGUAGUUUAAAGAAGUGUUUUCUGUUGAGGUUUUGGUAAAAGUUCUUUGGAAUAGGACAUCAUAGAGGGUGAGAAUCCCGUAUUUGACCUUUACUUUCAACUUUGUGAUACACUUUCAAAGAGUCGGAUUGUUUGGGAAUGCAGUCCAAAAUGGGUGGUAAAUUUCAUCUAAAGCUAAAUAUUGGCGAGAGACCGAUAGCGAACAAGUACCGUGAGGGAAAGAUGAAAAGAACUUUGAAAAGAGAGUUAAACAGUACGUGAAAUUGUCAAAAGGGAAGCGUUUGACACCAGUGUUGUUUUUCUGAAAAUCAAUUAAAGAACUGUUUAUGCUAAGUUGUUUAGACUUUAUCAACUAUCUGUUUAGUUUUGAGCUUUUCUUUAAUGCACUUUUCAGUUAACAAGUCAACAUCAAUUUCUUUUGCUGUAAAAAAGCUUGAGGAGGUGGCUUGAGAUUCGUCUUAAGUGUUUAUAGCCUCUUGCCUAUGCAGUCGGAGAGAUUGAGGUCUGCAGCGUAGAUCCUUCGGGGCUAAAUGCAUUUGUGCUAAGUUAUAGCAUUUUAUAGACAACUUGUUGACUAUGAUUUGUCUUGUAGCUUACUCGCUUAUGUUAUUUUACCUACGCUUAGGAUGUUGAAGCCAUCGUAUCGCGCGUGCUUGAUCUAUACAUGGCUCUGUGCAUAUCAAUAAGCGGAGGAAAAGUCAAUACCUACGCUUAGGAUGUUGAUCUCUCACAGUCGAGC